ACAAAAAUAUCUUUUGUUUGUAAUUUGGUCUAUAAAUGCCCUUGACGUUAAUAUUUUGAUUCAAAAAUGCUCUUGCUAUUGAUAGUUUGGUCCAAAAAUGUCGUUAUUCUUCCUAAAUGGGUCAAAAAUGUCAUUUUUCUAAUAAAUAUAUUAUUUCUUUUCUUUUGAAACACAUCUUGUUCGUGAUAAAAUAUUGCUUUUAAAGAAUCAUAUUAUUGUUUUCAUUCUUUUAAAAUCACUUUAACUAAUAAAAAUGUAUGAUAUAGUUUUUUCUUCUUCUUAAUCUUAUUUUAUCAAUUAAAAUAGAAUAACUUCAUGUACAAUUUAACGGAUAAUAUAUGCCAUAUAUAUAUAAGAUUAUAGUAAAUUUAUAAUUAAUUUUUAUAUAGAUAAUGAUAAAACACAAUCAUAAUAAAAUAAGAAAUAUUUUUGAUUUUUUAAUUUUUUUUUUCAAAUUCAAGUAGGAUAAACAUUUGCUAAUAAAAAAUUAUUAGGUAAAGAAUGUGUUCAGAAAAAAAAAAACAUAUGUAAUUGGAAAAAUGACAUUUUGAACCAUUAAGUAACAAUAAAGGUACUUUUGGAUCAAAAUAUUGACGACAUGGACAUUUUUGGACCAAGCUAUAAAUGGAGAAAUUUUGUAUUCAUUUCACAUAGUUUAAGAGCAUUUUUGAACCCUUUAUGUUAUGUGUCUCACAUGACUAACACCCAAGUAAGAUGUGGGUUCACUUUUUGAGAGAUAAAAAAGAUGUCUCAUAUAAAUAAUGUUAGUUAUGUGUGACACAUAAUGAGUAAUUAUAUUGAUAAGGAAAACUAGACAAUAAUAUUGUUCGACUGCUUGCCAAUCAUCUACCUUAAUUUUCGAUAUUCAUAUCCUCCUAUCUAGUGUCAUAUCCUUACAAUUGUGUCAUGUCUUGUGUAAUCACCUCCCUCGAAUACUUUUUUGGUCUACUUCUCCUUAGACCCAUCAUUAUUUGUACAAAACAGUUUGAAGCACUCGGGGUGGAGAAAGAAUUAGAGUUAGUUGAUUCUAAUCCUACGAAAGAGUAAACUUUAAUCCGAGUCGAUGCUGAUACUAAUAUACAAUCUCUUAGCAUGCCAAUUGAAGGAUGUAGAAUGUUAUGACUCCAACAUUAUAUAUCUCUAAUCCUGAAGUAGCUCAAAUUAUUCAAGAAAGUCAGGUUGCCAUGUUGCUCAAAUCUAAUUCAGCGAUCAAGCCACCUAUAGUCAUAUUGAACACCUAUGCUCAUGAGGUUUCUUCUCAAAAUUUGGAUUCAUUUGAUAAACAUCAAGGUAAAUUUGGGCAACUCUUAUGCUCCACAAGGAAUGAUAAAGUUUCGGUGAAAGGUAUGUGACCACUCUCUCAAGCUAAUUUCACAAGUGAUUUGAUUAUUUCAAAAGAAAAGUAGGGGGAGAUGAACACUCAUAGGUAGACUGAUUUAAUUGAUAAAGAAGAGCAUGUUUCACAUGUUAUUUUAAAUAAAAAAUUAAGUCCACAAGCUUUGGAAUUUGUACCUAAAAGUACAAUUACAAAAAGAAAAUGAACAAGAGGCCUUAGCAUUAGGACUUAGUCCAAUUGAGGCUUAUGCUAUUGAUUUGGGCAAUAAUUUUUUUUAUGAAGAUGGGGAAGAUAAUAUGUUGGCCAUAUGCUUUGAUAAAGUGGCUAGGGAUGGGAUAUCGCACUGAGGCAUCAAAGAAGUGGAAGGAACAAAAGGAAGACACAUGGAAGGAAGCACAGUUGGGAUGAUAAAGUGACAAAAGUUUGUUCCAAGACACCUACCGAUGCGACUGCCAAAGCAGAAUCAUAUGACAAUGUCAAUAGCUUCAAAAAAAUCCAAAAAAUCUAAGAAAAAUGAUUAACUAUGUUGGACAGAUUUGAAGAAGAAGACACGAGGAAAAUACUUAGGUUACUUUAGAUGGGCUAUCUAUCAUUUUUAUUUCACACAUUUGUAAAAGUAAAUUUGAGGUUGAAACUCAACUUUCUUCUUGGAAUUUAUAUUUAUGCAUUAUUUAAGCAUUUUCAUCUGUAAUAUCAUCAUAGAGUGUAUAGCAAACUAUGCGAUUAUAAUAAAAUACCUAGUCCUCUCUAGUUCAUGCUUGUUAAUUAGUAGAGGUUCGUUACCUCAUUAGAAUUGACAAGGUAAGACCUAAUCCCCUUUGCUUGUACAUAAUUUUAUUGAGGUUUUUUAUUUUAAUAAAAAAACUACAGGACGCUCUGUCUAAUGAUAUAAAUUCACAAAAAAAUGAUCAAUUUCUCACACCUCCUCACUGGACAUCUACGCAACUUCUCUUUACAUGCUUGAUCAUCUCAAUCUUAUCUUUCUUAUUUUAUCUACCAUGAAGAUUGCUUUCACCUUAUCCUAAUUUUCUUUAUUUUUAAUCUUAAACUCUCCUAAUAUGUCCACCGGUGACUAGAUUUAUGAAAAUGAUUGGCACGUUUUCAAUUAAAGAGAAUUCCACGUGGUUCGCCAUUAGUGGCGGGCCUCACAUCAAAUACCAAAUUGAAACACCAAUCACAUUAAAAAUAUUGUGCAAAGUAGUGGUGGCAAAACAACAGAAUAAAUAAAUACUCGUGGGUCCUAUGUGGAAAAGUCAAAAACAUUGCGUACUCGUUAUGACACGUAGUUAUCAAAGAAAAAAUCAAUUUAGCAAUAAUAAUUUCGUUUUUUAAUUGCAUAUUUCUGAACAUCGGCAAGCAGCAAUGGAGAAUCUCUUAGGUCUUCUGAGAAUUCGAGUCAAGAAAGGUGUAAAUCUCGCCGUUCGUGAUGUUCGCAGCAGCGAUACAUAUGUUGUUGUCCAGAUGGCUAAACAGGUCCCAAUUCCACUCAUUUUUUCAACUGUUCCAUACUCUCUCUUUUUUUAUCGGAUUUUUGGUCUAUUACUUUGAUUUUAAUGCUUGAUCAUUUAUGGAAGAAUUUUCAAAUUUCAUGUCAAGAAAGUUACAUUUAAGUUUAUUACCCACUGCCUGUAAUUUUAUUUUCUAGAAUUUAUGCAUCUGGGUUUAUAAUCAGUUUGCUUGACAUCUGAAGGAUGAUAUAUGUGGAAAUUAUACCAAAAAGCUAUCAUCUUUUCGUGGAAAUUCUGGUUACGAUCGUAUUUUUUUGGGAAGUAUUCUAAGUCAAAAUGAUUAUCUCCUGUAGUUAGUAUUUUUUUUCAGAUGUCUUUUUAAGUUUGGACUUUCAAAAUGGGGCUGCGGAAGGAGUGUUAAAGUUUCUUUAUUUUAAACAGUUCUAUCAUAUUUUUGUGGAAAAGGAAUAACCUUUUAGUAGUAUACUAAGGAGGCAUUGUAAGGUGUGCUGUUGUAAUUCUUGUCUUGCCAAGGUUCCUGUAUUUCGGUGUUCUAUGUGUUGAGUCUGGAGCUACAAACCUUUUUGGCUGAUGCAGAUUUGUGAAGUUUACACCAUGAUAAGUACUAGCUUCUUGGAGCUUGACCUUCCAGGUUCUGAAAAGUAUAUUAAUAGGGUAGAAUGGGUUGUGUGCGUGUGUGUUUGAGGCAGGGGAGGAGCCAGGUAGGUCCGACUUCCGAGGGGUUCAUCUUUGACAGAAAAUAAAUGCAAAGUUAAAGUUACUUUUAGUUAUAUAUCGUAAAUGUUAAACCCUAUUCGGUGAAAAUCAUUAGCGAUAAAUUUUAAGAUAUCCUCCUCAAAGUUUACAAAAAGAGCAGCAUUUUUGUUACCUGUUUCAUGUACUAAAUUAAGUUAUAAGAUGACAAUGCUUUUAUUACUCUCUUACUUGUAAUAUCAGUUUUUUUUGCCGUAAUGCAUGACUCAAUUGGUAAUUUGAGCCUUAGUUGCACGGACUCUUCACUUUUGAUGCCGCACCCGUCUCAAAUUCUCCGAAAAUACACUACUUUUAGCAAAUUCGACACGCACCCGUUGGCAUUUUUGAAGAGUCCAAGCAACAUAGCUGAGUUUGAGCUUCCCAAGCCAGGGAGUGAAAUGACAAUUACUAUCUUAUAACUAGCAGAAGAAAUAACAUAAGGACUCGAAUACUUGGAUUUUCUUUACGCUCAAUGCUCUGAUUACUGUGUUAUUUUGUUAUUAACUGCAUGGUGGAUGGGAAGCCACAGAUUUGAAAUGUGUUGUAAAUUCUGAGUUCUUCCUAUUAUCAGUAUAUUAUUAAUUGCUCUCAGACAGUUUUUUGACUCGCCUGUUUUUCAACUUGAAUGCAGAAAUUGAAGACCCGAGUUAUAAGAAAGGAUGUUAAUCCUGAAUGGAAUGAAGAUUUAACUCUUUCUGUUGCAGAUCCCAAUCUUCCUGUUAUGCUGGUAAAGUUUCUUGUUUGCUGGUUAUCAUAUAAAGAUAAGACCCUAUCUGUUUUGCAGAAAACAUAACCGUUUCUUGCUAAUGAUCACUUGCUGGGUGCUUUGAUCAAAUGUUCCUACAUAAAACUAUACACUUUCCAGUGUUUGUAUUUCUUGUUUAUGUUUUCUUCUUUCUGCCUGUUUCCAGACUGUCUUUGAUCACGAUUCGUUCAGCAAUGAUGACAAAAUGGGAGAUACAGAAUUUGACAUCAAACCAUUAAUAGAGGCUCUGAAGAUGAACUUAAGUGGCCUCCCAGAUGGCACCAUUAUAACAAGAAUACAACCGAGCCGAUCUAACUGCCUGUCUGAAGAGUCUAAUGUUGUAUGGAAAGAUGGCCAGGUUGUGCAAAAUAUGUGCCUAAGAUUGAGAAAUGUGGAAUGUGGAGAAGUCGAACUUCAACUUCAGUGGAUCAACAUUCCUGGUUCGAAGGGUUUAUAGAAUACAGCGUGUGUGUAUAUAUAUAUGGUUGCAGUUAGCUGGCUAGCUGCAGUGUAAGAACUGGUUUGUGCUCUCACAACUGAUCUCUAGUUGUAAUAAAUGGAGUUUGUAAUAUAGAAGUUCAAUUAAGAACUACCUAUGCACACUGUACCAAUAUGUUGGGCAAGGUUUCUAGCUUACCGAAUAUUUGGUUUGAAUAACACUGUAACUCAAGUGCACACUUUUGUGUGUAUAUUAUGGUACUACUCCUCCAUCUCAUUUUAUAUGUGGC
This 5010-nucleotide long non-coding RNA is filed under the name Solanum tuberosum (potato). RNAcentral's name for it is "long non-coding RNA (STUB_LNC004204)". The record is from RNAcentral. Lineage: Eukaryota; Viridiplantae; Streptophyta; Magnoliopsida; Solanales; Solanaceae.